Molecule: non-coding RNA, 30 nt
Filed under: Mus musculus (house mouse)
Lineage: Eukaryota; Metazoa; Chordata; Mammalia; Rodentia; Muridae
Source: RNAcentral
UGCACUUGCCUUGGUCUUCAGAACGAUCAU